Small nuclear RNA from Loxodonta africana (African savanna elephant), 108 nucleotides. The record is from Ensembl. NCBI's taxonomy places the organism in Eukaryota, Metazoa, Chordata, Mammalia, Proboscidea, Elephantidae.
ACGUGCUCCCUUAGGCCAUGCAUAUACUAAAGUGGAAUGAUACAGAAAAGAUUAGCAUUGUCUCCAAACAAGAAUGACACAUAAAUCCAUGAAGCAUUCCAUAUUUUU